AGUCAAUAGAUACCCCGGUAGUCCAUGCCGUAAACGAUGAUUGCUAGGUGUGGGGGGUCUGACCCCUUCCGUGCCGGAGUUAAACACAAAUAAGCAAUCCACCUGGGGAGUACGGCCGCAAGGUUGAAACUCAAAGGAAUUGACGGGGGCCCGCACAAGCAGUGGAGUAUGUGGUUUAAUUCGAAGCAACGCGAAGAACCUUACCAGGUCUUGACAUCCACCGAAUCCUGUAGAGAUACGGGAGUGCCCUUCGGGGAACGGUGAGACAGGUGGUGCAUGGUUGUCGUCAGCUCGUGUCGUGAGAUGUUGGGUUAAGUCCCGCAACGAGCGCAACCCUUGUGAAUAGUUGCUACGAAAGAGCACUCUAUUCAGACCGCCGUUGACAAAACGGAGGAAGGUGGGGAUGACGUCAAAUCAUCAUGCCCCUUAUGACCUGGGCUACACACGUACUACAAUGGCCGUUAACAGAGGGAUGCAAUGCCGCGAGGUGAGCGAACCCCUAAAAACGGUCUCAGUUCAGAUUGCAGGCUGAAACUCG
This 538-nucleotide ribosomal RNA is filed under the name uncultured bacterium. RNAcentral's name for it is "bacterial SSU rRNA". It matches the Rfam family "Bacterial small subunit ribosomal RNA", at positions 775 to 1314 of the family's 1533-position model. The record is from RNAcentral.